GACGAACGCUGGCGGCGUGCUUAACACAUGCAAGUCGAACGGAAAGGCCCGGCUUUUGUGGGGUGCUCAAGUGCCGAACGGGGGAGUAACACGUGAGUAGCCUGCCCUUGACUUUGGGAGAACUUCAUGAAACUGGGGCUAUUACCGCAUAUGAGCUCCUUCUGCAUGGGGGGGGUUGGAGAAUUUCGCCGGUGGGGGAUGGACGCGUGGUCUAUCGUCUUGUUGGUGGGGUGGUGGAGUACAAAGGCUCUGACGCGUAGCCGCACUGAGAGGGUGACAGGCCACAUUGGGCUUGAGAUGCGGCCCGGACUGCUACGGGAGGAAGGAGUGGGGAUUAUUGCAAACUGGGCGGAAGCAUGAUGGAGCAACGCCGCGUGCGGGAUGACUGCCUUCGGGUUGUAACCCGGUUUCGCCUGUGACGCAGAGUGAGUGACGGUAAUGGGUAAAGAAGCAACGGCUAACUACGUG
This 468-nucleotide ribosomal RNA is filed under the name uncultured bacterium. RNAcentral's name for it is "partial 16S ribosomal RNA". It matches the Rfam family "Bacterial small subunit ribosomal RNA", at positions 28 to 507 of the family's 1533-position model. The record is from RNAcentral.